RNAcentral lists this ribosomal RNA (266 nucleotides) under uncultured bacterium. Its description in RNAcentral is "partial 16S ribosomal RNA". It matches the Rfam family "Bacterial small subunit ribosomal RNA", at positions 793 to 1055 of the family's 1533-position model. The record is from RNAcentral.
GUCCACGCCCUAAACGAUGUCUACUAGUUGUUGGGAGAGUAAAAUCUCUUAGUAACGCAGCUAACGCGUGAAGUAGACCGCCUGGGGAGUACGGUCGCAAGAUUAAAACUCAAAGGAAUUGACGGGGCCCGCACAAGCGGUGGAUUAUGUGGAUUAAUUCGAUGCAACGCGAAAAACCUUACCUGGCCUUGACAUGCUACUAACGAAGCAGAGAUGCAUUAGGUGCUCGAAAGAGAAAGUAGACACAGGUGCUGCAUGGCUGUCGU